This is a long non-coding RNA of Nymphaea colorata (pocket water lily), 1402 nucleotides long. RefSeq lists it as uncharacterized. Lineage: Eukaryota; Viridiplantae; Streptophyta; Magnoliopsida; Nymphaeales; Nymphaeaceae. The transcript has 6 exons. The record is from RefSeq and is a predicted model, not a curated record.
AUACACUAAGUGUUUUCUUAAACAUGCUUGGCAGUAUCAAAUGGCGACUUUCACAAGAAAAAUGUUGUCCAUGAUGAAGGAUGAAGGUCUGCUAGGCUGCUAGCAUAUUAAAGGGAACCAGUCAUCCUACUUCAGGUCACUCUUGUUCCACAAACUGUGACUUCAAAGAAUGCUUAUGAUGAUGAAACUGGAGUUGAGAAUGUGGUAUGGCAUAUUGACAAUAUACGGUCAGGAUCUUUUCCGUGAACAAAAAUUGCUUGAGCAAAUUACCAGAGCAGCAGAUAGGACUGAUUACAUGUGGACCUGUGGUACACAACUGGUGUUCAUGACACAGAUGAUGACUCUUUCUGGAACCAAUAACAAGUCAUACUGAGAGUGAAUACCUUAGGCCAUCAUUUGUUUGUCAACGGGGAAAACGUGCAGCAAUCAGGAUUUGGUUGUAGAGGAUAUGGGCAUGGAGCAUUCAACUUUGAGCAACCAAUCAUUCUGAAACCAGGGAAAACUAUAUCACUCUUGUCAGUGCAACCGUUGGUCUUCAGGUUUUGUCAACCUCCAUAUUUGCUCUUGCUGUUACUAAUAAUAUAUAUAAACUGUCAUCGGUUUGAUCUUAUGCGUCUUGAAAGUUGAAACAGAACUGUGGCCCUCUGUUUGAAAUGGUUCCAGCAGCAGCAGGGAUCAACACAACACUGGUCCAGUUGAAAUUGUUGGCAGCCACAAUGCUACCAAAAUAUGUCAAGAAAAGUUUGGCUGUAAUAUAUAUUUGUCAGAUAUUAACUUUAAGAAAGUCCUAAUUCAGAAUAGUCUCUUGUGCGCUCAUAUUUUUCAGUGUCUGCAUCAAAUGCAGAUUGGUUUGAGAGGUGAAGCAGACCUCUUUAUAAUCCAAAGGGUUUCCGAUGGAUGUCAACAAGUGACCUCCCAGUCAAACUCCAUUCGUUUGGUAUAAGCCUGAGUUCAGGGCACCAAAUAUUAGCGAAUCGGUGAUUGCGAACCCUUGGAAGCACGGGAAAGGGGCAGGCUUGGGUCGACGUCGACACUGGCCUCUCUACACCUGUGACUACAGAGGGCCCUAAAUGCAUCACACAGUGCGGCAAAGGAACUUAGAUCUGAUAUCAUGUACCAAGAUCAUGGCUCAAUGAAGGGAUUAACACCUUGAUCUUACUGGAGGAGACGGGACGAGAUCCGUCUCAGAUCAAAUUAAGAACUGUUCAUUAGUGAUCGAGAAGAGGACGCUGCUGGACUUCUCUAUAAAUUUGAUGACCAUAGUUAUUUAAGUUUUCCGUUUUUAUUAUUGUGUUUUGAGUAUCUUUUCUAGCGCCAUUAAUGGCUGGUAGCUGUCUCUGGUAGGAACGUCUUUAGUGCUUGAAACAAUAUAGUCUAAGACUCUAACUGAUUUCUCUUUUGA